This 716-nucleotide long non-coding RNA is filed under the name Cyanistes caeruleus (blue tit). RNAcentral's name for it is "lncRNA (ENSCCEG00000016069.1)". The record is from RNAcentral. Lineage: Eukaryota; Metazoa; Chordata; Aves; Passeriformes; Paridae.
UGAAAAAAACCCAGAAGGAUAUUAAUCAGACAAGACAUGAGUAACCUGAAGAAGAGCACUCUUUGUACUGACAAAGUGGAAAUGGCAUCUAUCCAAACAAACUGGCUCAAUGAGCCUUGGCUUUGAUGACCUUCUGCCUUGUUGGCCUUCUGGUUUAAUUGUGACCAAGGAACUGAGAAGAAAAUAGAGAGUAAAGGAGCCAUUUGGUCCACCUUUACAUCUGCCUGGGGCUUUGAUGACAGCCAUCAGCAGGUGCAGCAAGGGCAGCUGCAGAUGAGAUUCCUUCACAAGAGCAAGCGUGAGAUGAAAGAUGUUAUUUAGCAGGAAAAAGAGAUUAAUUUGUCUUGAUUUCUACUUAUGUGCUGACGAUCACCACUGACAUACUCAAAAUGGAUUUUUUGCAUCCUGUGAGUCGGUGGUGCUGGCUCAGCCUGGUAGGUAGACUUCAAAAUACCCCUGCCCCAUUUGCAAAUGCUUAAGAAAUUUGAUGAAUUUUAGUGCAUACAUGGUGAAGUUUCCAAUGAGUUAGAAGUCAACAUGAUAUUUUAAAAAAAUUUCACUGCUUUGGAGAACAUCAGACUUUGGUUCAUCCUGAGACACUCAUUUGCCUUAAACUAUGCUCUACAGCAAAAUGUGCAUGAAAUUGUCUGCACUUCGGUAAGUGUUGCCUUUGCUGACUGUAAUUCAGCUUCCAAAUGAAAGUUUUGACUGUCCUC